This 1179-nucleotide ribosomal RNA is filed under the name Striatella unipunctata. Its description in RNAcentral is "partial Bacterial large subunit ribosomal RNA". It matches the Rfam family "Bacterial large subunit ribosomal RNA", at positions 591 to 1869 of the family's 2925-position model. Lineage: Eukaryota; Bacillariophyta; Striatellaphyceae; Striatellales; Striatellaceae. The record is from RNAcentral.
GGGCGACGGCGUGCCUUGUGCAUAAUGAGCCUACGAGUUACUUUUACCGGCAAGGUUAAGCACUUAUGGUGCGCAGCCGUAGCGAAAGCGAGUCUGAACAGGGCGCCAUAGUCGGUAGUAGUAGACGCGAAACCGUGCGAUCUACCCAUGGGCAGGUUGAAGCUGUGGUAACACAUAGUGGAGGACCGAACCCGUUGACGUUGAAAAGUCUUGGGAUGACCUGUGGGUAGGGGUGAAAGGCCAAUCAAACUCGGAAAUAGCUCGUACUCCCCGAAAUGCAUUUAGGUGCAGCCUCGGAAUGAGUGUCAUAGAGGUAGAGCUACUGAUUGGGCUAGGGGGCUUCACCGCCUACCAAACCCUGACAAACUCCGAAUGCUAUGACAUACGUCCGGGAGUGAGGGCAUGGGUGCUAAGGUCCAUGUCCGAGAGGGAAAGAACCCAGACUAUCCGCUAAGGUCCCUAAAUCUAUACUAAGUUGAUCAAACGUGGUGCGAUUGCAUUGACAGCUAGGAUGUUGGCUUGGAAGCAGCCAUUCAUUUAAAGAGUGCGUAACAGCUCACUAGUCGAGCGAUCGUGCGUGGAUAAUAAUCGGGCAUAAGUAUAGUACCGAAGCGGUAGAUUUUAUGGUAGGGGAGCAUUCAUACAUCACUGAAGGUGUGGCGUAAGCCAUGCUGGAGAGGUAUGAAAAGAAAAUGUAGGCAUAAGUAACGAUAAAGCAGGCGAGAAACCUGCUCACCAUUAGACUAAGGUUUCCUGAUCAACGCUAAUCGGAUCAGGGUUAGUCGGGACCUAAGGCGAAACCGAAAGGUGUAGUCGAUGGACAACAGGUUAAUAUUCCUGUACCCGCUAUACAACAAAAGUGACGGAGAUGUGUAGCUGCCUCGUGCUGACGGAAUAGCACGGUGAGCCUAGCCUUCGGGCGAAGCGAGGUAGUGAAUCAGCUUCCAAGAAAAGCGAGUAUAGCGGCCCGUACCGCAAACCGACACAGGUAGUCAAGGAGAGUAUCCUAAGGUGCUCGAGUGAUUCGUGGUUAAGGAACUAGGCAAAUUAGUCUCGUAACUUCGGAAUAAGAGACGCUCUUCGGAGCCGCAGUGAAUAGGUCCAGGCGACUGUUUAUCAAAAACACAUGGCUUUGCUAAAUCGAAAGAUGAUGUAUAAGGCCUGACACCUGCCCGGUGC